This 619-nucleotide ribosomal RNA is filed under the name Pseudomonas sp. Its description in RNAcentral is "bacterial SSU rRNA". It matches the Rfam family "Bacterial small subunit ribosomal RNA", at positions 95 to 710 of the family's 1533-position model. Lineage: Bacteria; Pseudomonadati; Pseudomonadota; Gammaproteobacteria; Pseudomonadales; Pseudomonadaceae. The record is from RNAcentral.
GCGGCGGACGGGUGAGUAAUGCCUAGGAAUCUGCCUGGUAGUGGGGGACAACGUUUCGAAAGGAACGCUAAUACCGCAUACGUCCUACGGGAGAAAGCAGGGGACCUUCGGGCCUUGCGCUAUCAGAUGAGCCUAGGUCGGAUUAGCUAGUUGGUGAGGUAAUGGCUCACCAAGGCGACGAUCCGUAACUGGUCUGAGAGGAUGAUCAGUCACACUGGAACUGAGACACGGUCCAGACUCCUACGGGAGGCAGCAGUGGGGAAUAUUGGACAAUGGGCGAAAGCCUGAUCCAGCCAUGCCGCGUGUGUGAAGAAGGUCUUCGGAUUGUAAAGCACUUUAAGUUGGGAGGAAGGGUUGUAGAUUAAUACUCUGCAAUUUUGACGUUACCGACAGAAUAAGCACCGGCUAACUCUGUGCCAGCAGCCGCGGUAAUACAGAGGGUGCAAGCGUUAAUCGGAAUUACUGGGCGUAAAGCGCGCGUAGGUGGUUCGUUAAGUUGGAUGUGAAAUCCCCGGGCUCAACCUGGGAACUGCAUCCAAAACUGGCGAGCUAGAGUAUGGUAGAGGGUGGUGGAAUUUCCUGUGUAGCGGUGAAAUGCGUAGAUAUAGGAAGGAACACC